CCGGGCGGAUCGCCGAAUCCUGCCACCGUCCGGAAACCGCAACCGAACCAUUCGCGCGGCAGGAGCGGGGGAACCAGGUAGGCCGCCGUCCCCGGAGAUCCAUUUCUCCGGUGCCGGCUCGGGGUGAAGCCGUGCAUGUCCUCGUGCAUGUACGGCCGGACAUCUCCAGUCCGAACCCGACAGCUCACCUCGCAGGCGCCGGAGAGGAAUC
RNAcentral lists this small RNA (211 nucleotides) under Streptomyces sp. RNAcentral's name for it is "c-di-AMP sequence". It matches the Rfam family "c-di-AMP riboswitch aptamer (ydaO/yuaA leader)". From Rfam's summary of the family: This family represents a conserved RNA structure found upstream of the ydaO and yuaA genes in Bacillus subtilis and related genes in other bacteria. The ydaO/yuaA element is thought to act as a genetic "off" switch for the ydaO and yuaA genes in its native state. The record is from RNAcentral. Lineage: Bacteria; Bacillati; Actinomycetota; Actinomycetes; Kitasatosporales; Streptomycetaceae.